RNAcentral lists this ribosomal RNA (465 nucleotides) under uncultured bacterium. Its description in RNAcentral is "partial 16S ribosomal RNA". It matches the Rfam family "Bacterial small subunit ribosomal RNA", at positions 28 to 507 of the family's 1533-position model. The record is from RNAcentral.
GACGAACGCUGGCGGCGUGCUUAACACAUGCAAGUCGUACGGUAAGGCCCUUUCGGGGGUACACGAGUGGCGAACGGGUGCGUAACACGUGAGUAACCUGCCCACAACUUUGGGAUAACGCUAGGAAACUGGUGCUAAUACUGGAUAUGUGCUCCUGCUGCAUGGUGGGGGUUGGAAAGCUCCGGCGGUUGUGGAUGGACUCGCGGCCUAUCAGCUUGUUGGUGGGGUAGUGGCCUACCAAGGCGGCGACGGGUAGCCGGCCUGAGAGGGUGACCGGCCACAUUGGGACUUAGAUACGGCCCCGACGCCUACGGUUGGCAGCAGUGGGGAAUAUUGCACCAUGGGCGCCAGCCUGAUGCAGCAACGCCUCGUGCGGGAUGACGGCCUUCUGGUUGUAAACCGCUUUCAGCAGGGACGAAGCUUUUUGUGACGGUACCUGCAGAAGAAGCACCGGCUAACUACGUG